UGAUUUUCAAAUGUGACACUAAAAGCACAAGCAACAAAAGAGGAUAUUUUGUACUUCACCAAAAUUAAAAAUUAUUUGCACAUCAUGCAUCUUUUAAAGAUCUAGUACUCAUAAUAUCUUAAUGACUCCAUAAUUGUAUGGUAAAGACAACUGGAGUUAAUAAUGCACAAAAUAAGCUAUUUCUCUGAAGAGUAUGUACAAACGCCUAACAACCACAAGAAAUUACACUCAGCCUCACUAUUCAUUAUAAAAAUCAAAUUACAAUGAAAAUCAUAUACUACUUCAUGCUCACUAGAUGGCUAUAACAUAAAAAUGGGAAUUAAGUAGUGUUGGUGAAGAUGUAUGGAAAUUGAAGUCCUUAUCCAUUGUUGGGAGAUGUAAAAUUCUGCAGCCAUGGUAAAUGAUUUGUCAGUUCCUCAAUAAACAGAAUUUCAUGACUGGAUGAUUUCACUUACAGGGUAUAGCCAGAAGAAUUGGGAGCAUUCAAAGACAUGUACACCAAUUUUCUUAGUAGCUUUGUUCAUAAUAGUCAAAAUGUAGAAAAAUCCCAAAUGUGUGUGUGUGUGUGUGUGUG
RNAcentral lists this long non-coding RNA (574 nucleotides) under Marmota monax (woodchuck). Lineage: Eukaryota; Metazoa; Chordata; Mammalia; Rodentia; Sciuridae. The record is from RNAcentral.